This 848-nucleotide ribosomal RNA is filed under the name uncultured eukaryote. RNAcentral describes it as "SSU rRNA". It matches the Rfam family "Eukaryotic small subunit ribosomal RNA", at positions 582 to 1455 of the family's 1831-position model. The record is from RNAcentral.
AUUCCAGCUCCAAUAGCGUAUAUUAAAGUUGUUGCGGUAAAAAAGCUCGUAGUUGGAUUUCUGUUGAGGGCGACCGGUCCGUACCAUGUACGCGCAUCUGGUUCGGCCUCGGCAUCCUCUCGAUAGACGUUUCUGCGCUAGAUUGCUUGGAGCGGAUUUCGGGACUUUUACUUUGAGGAAAUUAAAGUGUUCACGGCAGGCUAUCGCCAGAAUACAUUAGCAUGGAAUAAUACUAUAGGAUCUCGGUUCUAUUUUGUUGGUUUCUAGACCCGGGGUAAUGAUUAAUAGGGACAAUUGGGGGCAUUUGUAUCAACACGUUAGAGGUGGAAUUCUUGGAUUGUGUUGCGACAAACUACUGCCAAAGCAUUUGCCAAGGAUGUUUUCAUUGAUCAAGAACGAAAGUAAGGGGAUGGAAGACGAUUAAAUACCGUCGUAGUCUUUACCAUAAACUAUGCCGACCAGAGAUGGGGCAUCGUUCACUUACGACUUGCUCCGCAUCUUAUGAGAUAUCAAAGUCUUUGGGUUCCGGGGGGAGUAUGGUUGCAAGUCUGAAACUUAAAGGAAUUGACGGAAGGGCCCCCCCAGGAGUGGAGCCUGCGGCUUAAUUUGACUCAACACGGGGAAACUCACCAGGUCCAGACAUAAUAAGGAUUGACAGAAUGAUAGCUCUUUCUUGAUUUUAUGGGGUGGUGGUGCAUGGCCGUUUUUAGUUCGUGGAGUGAUUUGUUUGGUUAAAUGCGUUAACGAACGAGACCUUAACCUGCUAAAUAGGAGCGCAUAUCUUUGGAUAAGCGCCUUUCUUCUUAGAGGGACUGCCUGCGUUUCAGUAUGCGGAAGUUGAGGCUAAA